UUUUUUUUAAAUUUUAGCUUUUAUGUUAGAAUGGAAACCGGUCUUUCUUCUUGCUUCCUUUAACUAAGAGAGUAUUAAACCCUAAAGUUUAUGCUUUUCCUUUUCUGUGCCUAAAGCGGAAAAACACUCAUAUUGAUUGUGAAUGUUAUUUCCCCUGUAUCUCUAUUUUGUCUGUUGAUUAAAUAACACAUAUUUUCAGUCUGUUUCUUUUCCUUCCUUCCAACAUGGGCUUUAAGGUUUCCAUUUGCUUUUCAUUCAAACAAACCAGAAUUCUCUUGGGUCUUUAUAAAAUUUGGUUUAGUUGAAAUGCAAAUUCUGAGCUUCACUGGAGAGGGUGCUGAAGGAGAACCCUGGGGCUGGGAGGGGUGUAAUCCAGGGAUCUGACAUUAUAAAAAACACUGUGAAAUCAGUUCUUUGGGACUGAACAGUCUCAUUUCAAACAACAAAAGUGUUCCAUAGACUCAAUAGCUAUGAAUGCACUGAAACUGCCAGGGAGAUUUUUACAAACCAUGAUGUUUAGUCUGACUACUAUUGGAAAUGAAGGUGAAUUAGAUAUUACAAAGGUGCGUCCUUGGGCU
Molecule: long non-coding RNA, 578 nt
Filed under: Marmota monax (woodchuck)
Lineage: Eukaryota; Metazoa; Chordata; Mammalia; Rodentia; Sciuridae
Source: RNAcentral